UGUGUAGGCGGUUGUUUAAGUUUGGUGUGAAAUCUCCCGGCUCAACCGGGAGGGUGCGCCGAAUACUGAGCGACUAGAGUGCGGGAGAGGAAAGUGGAAUUCCUGGUGUAGCGGUGAAAUGCGUAGAUAUCAGGAGGAACACCGGUGGUGUAGACGGCUUUCUGGACCGUAACUGACGCUGAGACACGAAAGCGUGGGUAGCAAACAGGAUUAGAUACCCUGGUAGUCCACGCCCUAAACGAUGCAUAUUUGGUGUGGGCAGUUCAUUCUGUCCGUGCCGGAGCUAACGCGUUAAAUAUGCCGCCUGGGGAGUACAGUCGCAAGGCUGAA
This 330-nucleotide ribosomal RNA is filed under the name uncultured bacterium. RNAcentral's name for it is "bacterial SSU rRNA". It matches the Rfam family "Bacterial small subunit ribosomal RNA", at positions 568 to 898 of the family's 1533-position model. The record is from RNAcentral.